This is a non-coding RNA of Phasianus colchicus (ring-necked pheasant), 1260 nucleotides long. The record is from RefSeq and is a predicted model, not a curated record. NCBI's taxonomy places the organism in Eukaryota, Metazoa, Chordata, Aves, Galliformes, Phasianidae.
UUUCUUUGGUGUAUGUAAUAAUCUGCUUAGCCAAACUCUCUUGUAUUUUGUAAUUAUAAUGUGUGUGUAUUCAUUGAUUAUACAGUAUAACUAAGGUUUUCUAGCAUGUGUUCACUGCAGUUGGGAAUUAUCUAGGGCAAACACAAAAAACUGGCAAACUGUAGCAUUGUGGAGUAAAGAGAAAUCCUGCAGUAGAACAACUUGCAAGCAGAGGCAUCUAAGCAGAGAACUAAUUGCUUAAUAGUAUAUUUUUAUCGUUUGUUUUCUUGAGAGCAAGAAGGCAAAAUGGAAGUCAAGAAGUAAGAAUGGACAUCAUGAAAGCAUCAGUAAGAAUUUCUGUUCUAAAAUCAACAGGUGUGUCGCUCAUUACAAGAUGAAGAAAAUCCAGCAGAACUGUGUGGAGCACUGAGGGCAUAGCAAAAUAAUGGAUCGUCAGUACCAGAUGAUCCCGUUCUGACUUCCUUGUCAGUACCAACUGGGGUACAAAUCAUCUCACUUGACAUCAAACCUGUAACCGUUAGGUGUGAGGUUAAGCUGGCUGAAGAUCAGAUUUGGCUGCUAUGGAUGUUCUAAGUGCAUCUGCAGAGGAAGCUUAAUCUUUCCCAUCCCAGAUGGCUGUCUUGAAAGGGUAUGGAUUGCUAUCCUUAAUCACUCCUUUCUCUUUGCUGCAUAUAUUGGGAAUGUAAAUACUAACUUAAGAUAAUACGUCUAAUUUUUGGAUGGCUGAUUCUAGAGAGCAGAAAUUCUAUUUUAAGGAGGCACACAAAUCCUUCCAUGCAGUACUGUACUUUCUAGGAAGAUAACAAUUUAACUGCUGUGUCCUGUACUCUUGGUGUAUUUGUUUGGUGCUGGGGGUGUACUGGUCCAUUAGGAUCCUGGGAUGAAAGGCACUCAGAGUCUGUAAGGUACCAUUUGACCUGCUGUUUAUUAGAUCAAAUGCUAUAAGGACAGAAUAAUAAAUAACUGAUGUCCCUUUAGAUGCUAAGAACCCCAAGUUAUGCAGCACCGAAGAAGCAUCUGAUCCAUGCUCAACACUAUACAGACCCCUUAUUUGAAGGGGUACUCCCAUUUGGAUAAUUUCCCAACAUGCCAGCUUUUUGCUGUACUUCUAGACAAAGGCAGGAUAACCCAAGUGGCAUAAUCACUGGUACUAAAUGGGAGCUGGAGUUUUUGUGAAGGAAACUUAAAACUUGAUUGCAGUACUGAAUCAACAGGUGAGAGUGAUGCCUAGAGCAGAGAUCCACGGCAGUUCUAGCCGUU